This 253-nucleotide ribosomal RNA is filed under the name uncultured bacterium. RNAcentral describes it as "partial 16S ribosomal RNA". It matches the Rfam family "Bacterial small subunit ribosomal RNA", at positions 524 to 776 of the family's 1533-position model. The record is from RNAcentral.
UACGUAGGUGACAAGCGUUGUCCGGAUUUAUUGGGUUUAAAGGGUGCGUAGGCGGUCUUAUAAGUCAGUGGUGAAAUACGGCAGCUCAACUGUCGAGGUGCCAUUGAUACUGUAGGACUUGAGUACAGACGAGGUAGGCGGAAUUGACGGUGUAGCGGUGAAAUGCUUAGAUAUCGUCAAGAACACCGAUAGCGAAGGCAGCUUACUAGGCUGUAACUGACGCUGAGGCACGAAAGUGUGGGGAUCAAACAGG